GAGCUGGAAAGCUGUCUGUGCUACUUGCUAAUAGCCUAGCCUAUACUAGUUGCUUAUGCUUACAGUUACAGCUUAGUGAUUGAACUGAACAAAUAAAAACAUGAACUUGAAAUCUGAAACUGAAAGUCUUAAACUCUUUGAGAGUAGAGACCAAUGAGAAAUGGCGUAAAAAAAGCGAACAGCUUCUACAAGUUUACAAAGUCAAAGUCAUGUGGGUGCUGUAGGUGGUGAUGAUCAAGUUGAUUGUGAAACUGUAAAUGUAGAGAAUAAUGAUUCUGGCAGCGAUGGGCAUGAUUCUGGCAGAUUUGUCAUUCUCAUUCAAUGUUAGACCAUUGAGCAUUGACCGCUUUCUCAUUAAAGCAAAUCUGAAAAAAAAUACACUGUUUUGAUUGUCA
Molecule: long non-coding RNA, 395 nt
Filed under: Daphnia magna
Lineage: Eukaryota; Metazoa; Arthropoda; Branchiopoda; Diplostraca; Daphniidae
Description: uncharacterized LOC123469490
Source: RNAcentral